GGGUUGUGAGGUUAAGCGACUAAGCGUACACGGUGGAUGCCCUGGCAGUCAGAGGCGAUGAAGGACGUGCUAAUCUGCGAUAAGCGUCGGUAAGGUGAUAUGAACCGUUAUAACCGGCGAUUUCCGAAUGGGGAAACCCAGUGUGUUUCGACACACUAUCAUUAACUGAAUCCAUAGGUUAAUGAGGCGAACCGGGGGAACUGAAACAUCUAAGUACCCCGAGGAAAAGAAAUCAACCGAGAUUCCCCCAGUAGCGGCGAGCGAACGGGGAGCAGCCCAGAGCCUGAAUCAGUGUGUGUGUUAGUGGAAGCGUCUGGAAAGGCGCGCGAUACAGGGUGACAGCCCCGUACACAAAAAUGCACAUGCUGUGAGCUCGAUGAGUAGGGCGGGACACGUGGUAUCCUGUCUGAAUAUGGGGGGACCAUCCUCCAAGGCUAAAUACUCCUGACUGACCGAUAGUGAACCAGUACCGUGAGGGAAAGGCGAAAAGAACCCCGGCGAGGGGAGUGAAAAAGAACCUGAAACCGUGUACGUACAAGCAGUGGGAGCACGCUUAGGCGUGUGACUGCGUACCUUUUGUAUAAUGGGUCAGCGACUUAUAUUCUGUAGCAAGGUUAACCGAAUAGGGGAGCCGAAGGGAAACCGAGUCUUAACUGGGCGUUAAGUUGCAGGGUAUAGACCCGAAACCCGGUGAUCUAGCCAUGGGCAGGUUGAAGGUUGGGUAACACUAACUGGAGGACCGAACCGACUAAUGUUGAAAAAUUAGCGGAUGACUUGUGGCUGGGGGUGAAAGGCCAAUCAAACCGGGAGAUAGCUGGUUCUCCCCGAAAGCUAUUUAGGUAGCGCCUCGUGAAUUCAUCUCCGGGGGUAGAGCACUGUUUCGGCAAGGGGGUCAUCCCGAC
This 902-nucleotide ribosomal RNA is filed under the name Escherichia coli. Its description in RNAcentral is "partial 23S ribosomal RNA". It matches the Rfam family "Bacterial large subunit ribosomal RNA", at positions 1 to 935 of the family's 2925-position model. Lineage: Bacteria; Pseudomonadati; Pseudomonadota; Gammaproteobacteria; Enterobacterales; Enterobacteriaceae. The record is from RNAcentral.